ACAGGGUCACAGGGGAGGGGCCGGAGGGGAAGGACGUGCCCUACCCCCAGCUCCUGCUGGACCAGGAGAUCAGAGCAGAAGUGGCGGCUGUGCGGCGCUGAGCGGUUUCUGUGCCUCUGCCCCCGCUCUGUGUGUGUGUGUGUGUGUGUGUGUGUGUGUGUGUGUGUGCGCGCGCGUGUGCGCGCGCGUGCGCGUGUGCGCGCGCGUGCGCGUGUGCGCGCGCGUGCGCGCAUGCAGGCGUUAGUGAGCAGUUUGCAGGCAGCCUCACACCACCAGCUCAGUGGCUGCUUCCCGCCCUCCCUCCUUUCUGCUCCUUUCCUUGGGUCCCUCCCUCCUGCUUUGGGGACCGUGCAGUUUCUCCCCAGCACAACCUGAUAGGCUGGGACAGCUCUGUCCCCCUUGUCUCUGUCUCCCCGCCCAGCAGAGUCCCGGGCACCAGGAGUUGCUCAACUGAUGUUUGUAGAAUGAAUGCAUGAGUGUCACUGCAGGCCAAGCAUUUCCUCUCCCUCAACCUCAGGUUCCUCAUCACAGAGGAGGCUCCCCUGGCUUCAGGGCACAGGUUUCCUGCCCCGCAAUGCCCUCUGUCUAGGGCUGUGCCCUCUCCAUCCUGCCCAGCCUGGAGCCAAGGGUGUGCUGCUGCCCCCCAGCUUUCUCAUCCCCUGCAGGGGGGUCUUCGAGGGUUCUCGCUGAGAGUGGGAGUCGCACAGAGCCAGACGUGGUCAAAGGGGCUGGGCUUGCUCCUCGGUGGUCCUCAGGGAGACCUCUGGCCCCUUGUCCACCUCCCCACUGCGGCCUCCUCUGCCCAGGAAGGGAAGGCUGUCUGGAGCGAGGUUCUCCCGGAAAGAUGCGAUUCCAGCCCUGUCCUCAGGGGGGGGGGGGGGGCUGGGCCGUGGCCUGCAGGGGGAGCCCCGGAAACCCUGUGAGGCUGGUGUGCAGCAGGGAUUAGGAGGACAGGAGAGAAAGCGGUGUGUGGGUGUGUGCGUGUGUGUGGGUGUACAUGCGUGUGUGUGUGUGUGUGUGUGUGUGCGCGCGUGCAUGUGCAGCUGGAGGGAGAGGAGCCCUCAAAGGCAGGAGGGGAGGGAAGGCACGGAAACCUCGGCGCUGCUGCAGCCAUCAGAGGAGACCCAAGGGGCGGCAAGGGCCGCAGAGGAGGCUGGAGGGGAGGCUGUGGGGACAGAGAUGGAGGAACUAGGCGCACCUGGGGCAGAGCUUGCCCUGCCUGGACACAGCCACCGCCUGGUUGCUGCCCUCGGUGCACCCUUGGCCUCAAAGACCUCAGGCUGCCACUGCUGUGGUGUGGCCUGUUAUCCCAGCCCUCGGGAGGCUGAGGCAAGAGGAUCUCGUCAGAUUCGAGGCCAGCGUGGGCUCCACAGUGAACCCUGUCUGAAAAACGCAGGAACAAAAUGCCUCGGUGUCCAUGAAGAGGAGGGAUGGAGACAGACACAUGUGCCUGGGUGUCUAGGGUCCUGUGCUAAAGGCCAGAGCCACGUGCAGGGGCCCAGAGUCCUAGCCGCUCCACAGGCUGACUCUCAGGUGUUCAAGCCAGCCUGGGCAACAUGGGGACAGCUUUUGGAGACCUUGAACGCCGCGCCUGAGGCCCUUUUGGAGACCCUUUUGAAGACCCUUGAAUGCCGAGGCUGAGCUCUGCAGGGCUCCUGUGCAGCGCACGCCCCGCCCACCGCCCGGCGCCGCCGCCUCCUCCGUUCGCUCCGCUGGGUUCCUCUCCGUGGCCUCUGUCGUCGUCGGCUCAUCGUUGACAUCCUGUGCUGUGCAUGCAUGAAAAAGCGCGUGGCCACGCAUGGGACCAGCCUGAAGCGCUGUCUCACUGCCUCCGAGCGACACCUCUGUGGUGGGCCUGGGACCAAGCCAGGCCCCCUUGGAGAGAAGGGAAACUGAGGCACACUGGAAAGUGGUGCAGUUUGGAUUGGAACUCGGAGUCCUGGCCCUAUCUGGUCCUCGCGUCCCCAAGUCAGAGGUGGCCUGCGCAUCCAGAAAAACUCAUAGGUGAAGCUGGAAGUGAUGGCGCACAUCUGUAAUCCCAGCAUCCAGGAGGCUGAGGCAGAAAAAUCACCUCGAGUUGGGGGCCAGCCUGAGCCAUGUAGGAGACUUUGUCUCAAAAAGCAAAACAAUAAAACGGGCGGGGCCAGGUCCGUGCGGCUCCCGCCCACGGGUCCCUGGGCCUCCCCAGUGCCCUAGAA
This is a long non-coding RNA of Cavia porcellus (domestic guinea pig), 2198 nucleotides long. RefSeq lists it as uncharacterized. The record is from RefSeq and is a predicted model, not a curated record. Lineage: Eukaryota; Metazoa; Chordata; Mammalia; Rodentia; Caviidae. The transcript has 2 exons.